This 72-nucleotide transfer RNA is filed under the name Dipodomys ordii (Ord's kangaroo rat). It matches the Rfam family "tRNA". Rfam says of the family: Transfer RNA (tRNA) molecules are approximately 80 nucleotides in length. Their secondary structure includes four short double-helical elements and three loops (D, anti-codon, and T loops). Further hydrogen bonds mediate the characteristic L-shaped molecular structure. tRNAs have two regions of fundamental functional importance: the anti-codon, which is responsible for specific mRNA codon recognition, and the 3' end, to which the tRNAs corresponding amino acid is attached (by aminoacyl-tRNA synthetases). tRNAs cope with the degeneracy of the genetic code in two manners: having more than one tRNA (with a specific anti-codon) for a particular amino acid; and 'wobble' base-pairing, i.e. permitting non-standard base-pairing at the 3rd anti-codon position. The record is from Rfam by way of RNAcentral. Lineage: Eukaryota; Metazoa; Chordata; Mammalia; Rodentia; Heteromyidae.
AGAGGUAUAGCGUUGUAGUAGAGCACCUGCCUAGCAAACACAAGGCCCUGGGUUCAAACCCCAGUACCACCA